GGAGAGAUGGCCGAGCGGCUUAAGGCAGCGGUCUUGAAAACCGCCGAUGAGAAAUUAUCCGAGAGUUCGAAUCUCUCUCUCUCCA
RNAcentral lists this transfer RNA (85 nucleotides) under Buchnera aphidicola (Diuraphis noxia). RNAcentral describes it as "tRNA-Ser". It matches the Rfam family "tRNA". From Rfam's summary of the family: Transfer RNA (tRNA) molecules are approximately 80 nucleotides in length. Their secondary structure includes four short double-helical elements and three loops (D, anti-codon, and T loops). The record is from RNAcentral. Lineage: Bacteria; Pseudomonadati; Pseudomonadota; Gammaproteobacteria; Enterobacterales; Erwiniaceae.